AACGCGAAGAACCUUACCUACUCUUGACAUCCUGCGAAUCUGGCUGAGAGGCUGGAGUGCCGAAAGGAGCGUAGAGACAGGUGCUGCAUGGCUGUCGUCAGCUCGUGUUGUGAGAUGUUGGGUUAAGUCCCGUAACGAGCGCAACCCUUAUCCUUAGUUACCAGCGAGUAAAGUCGGGGACUCUAAGGAGACUGCCGGUGAUGAAUCGGAGGAAGGUGGGGACGACGUCAAGUCAUCAUGGCCUUUAUGAGUAGGGCUACACACGUGCUACAAUGGGGCGUACAGAGGGUAGCCAACCCGCGAGGGGGAGCCAAUCCCGCAAAGCGUCUCGUAGUCCGGAUUGGAGUCUGCAACUCGACUCCAUGAAGUUGGAAUCGCUAGUAAUCGCGAAUCAGCAUUGUCGCGGUGAAUACGUUCCCGGGCCUUGUA
Molecule: ribosomal RNA, 429 nt
Filed under: uncultured Gammaproteobacteria bacterium
Lineage: Bacteria; Pseudomonadati; Pseudomonadota; Gammaproteobacteria
Description: bacterial SSU rRNA
Rfam family: Bacterial small subunit ribosomal RNA
Source: RNAcentral